This 1896-nucleotide long non-coding RNA is filed under the name Salmo salar (Atlantic salmon). RNAcentral describes it as "lncRNA (ENSSSAG00000091021.1)". Lineage: Eukaryota; Metazoa; Chordata; Actinopteri; Salmoniformes; Salmonidae. The record is from RNAcentral.
GCCACACACACUACUGAGCCUCAUUUUGACUUGUUUUAAGGACAUUACAUCAAAGUUGUAUCAGCCUGUAGUGUGGUUUUCCACUUUAAUUUUGAGUGUGACUCCAAAUCCAGACCUCCAUGGGUUGAUAAAUUGGAUUUCCAUUGAUUAUUUUUGUGUGAUUUUGUUGUCAGCACAUUCAACUAUGUAAAGAAAAAAGUAUUUAAUAAGAUUAUUUCUUUCAUUCAGAUCUAGGAUGUGUUGUUUAAGUGUUCCCUUUAUUUUUUUGAGCAGUAUAUUUUGUUUAAUGUUUUUCUUCCUUUUGUUUAGUCUGCUGUUGUUUAGUUAGAUUAUUGAUUGUUUGUUAGUUUCUACAAUUGUAAAGCUAUGUAUGUUUCAUGUAUAAUUACUGUUAUUAUUAAAGUAGAGGAGUUAGUUCAGGCAAGCAACAUUUCAACACAUUCUUUUCACAUAUCCUGUGUAUAAGUUUAUUUAUAAACUGGGUGGUUCCAGCCCUGAAUGCUGAUUGUCUGAAUGCCUUGGUAUAUCAGACCCUAUGACAAAACAUUUAUUUUUACUGCUCUAAUUACAUUGGUAGCCAGUUUAUAAUAGCAAUAAGGCACCUCGGGGGUUUGUGGUAUAUGGCCAAUAUACCACGGUUAAGGGCUGUGUCCAGGCACUCUGCGUUGCGUCAUGCAUAAGAACAGCCCUUAGCCGUGGUAUAUUGCCAUAUACCACACCUCCUCGGGCCUUAUUGCUUAAAUAUACAUGCUCACCUCUGCCAAUUGGAAACUGUUGUCCACUUGUCUGUCCCAUUUCCUUAAUAUGUUCUAUAUCGCAGUGGCAAUCAACACCCAUACCCCCACACUAUAACCUUCCAACCCUCCUCCUGUUGCUGCCCAAGAACUGUCUGAUACAGUUGCCCCCCAGGAGACCAGCUACACCCCCAUCCUCAACCAGGUUGAACCCCCGAUAUCCCCCACCACCCAGGAGACCAGCUACACCCCCAUCCUCAACCAGGUUGAACCCCCGAUAUCCCCCACCACCCAGGAGACCAGCUACACCCACACCAAACCAAAGAAGACAGAGAGAAAGUCCUGUCGCCCUCAAAAAACCCUCCAACUCGCUGAGCAUGACAGUUCACCCCAUCCAAUCCCAUUCAACCCCAUCCAACCCCAUCCAACCGUAUCCUACCCCAUUCUACCCCAUCCAACCGUUUCCAACCCCAUCAAACCCCAUUCUACCCCAUCCAAGCCCGACCAAGGAAGAGGAAAUAUGACUACAUGCAAAAAGAGUGUCCAGUGCAUCCGGGGCAAAUGAUUUUCCCUAUUCUCAAGAUUUUUGCCAAUAGAACUUCAAAGGGGUGGCAAGAAAUGGGACGAUGACUGGAUCAAGGCCGAGGACCGCGUUUCUCCAGUUUAACCUACUUUAUGCACGAAUGUAUUCCUCACUCUCCCUUCACAUGUAUCACUGUCAAUCAUAAAUGGUUGGCCAAAUUCACCAUGAUUUACCAUUGAAACAUUCAUGGAGCGUCAGCAUGCCAACCAUUUCAUCUCAAUCAGUUUCAUGAGAAUAUGCAUUUAGAUAUUCUUCAUAUAAAGUGAGCUACAAACAUAUUGCAACAGUGACACAUUUUUUGUUGUUUUGGAUCUGUACUCCAGAACGUUGUAUUUUAAAUUAUACAAUGACUAUGAGGUUAAAGUGCAGACUAUCAGCUUUAAUUUGAGUGUAUUUUCAUCCAUAUCUGGUGAACCGUUUAGAAAUUACAGCACAUUGUGUACAUAUCCACCCCGUUUUGGGGGACCAAAAGUCUUGUGAUAAAUUCACUUAUGUGUAUUACAGUAGUCAGAAGUUUAGUAUUUUUGUCUUUUAUGUUUGUAUUGAUUCAUUUUACUAUGUUAUUAAAUAUAUAUGUUU